This 309-nucleotide ribosomal RNA is filed under the name uncultured bacterium. Its description in RNAcentral is "bacterial SSU rRNA". It matches the Rfam family "Bacterial small subunit ribosomal RNA", at positions 28 to 334 of the family's 1533-position model. The record is from RNAcentral.
GACGAACGCUGGCGGCGUGCUUAUCACAUGCAAGUCGAACGGAAAGGCCCUGCUUUUGUGGGGUGCUCGAGUGGCGAACGGGUGAGUAACACGUGAGUAACCUGCCCUUGACUUUGGGAUAACUUCAGGAAACUGGGUCUAAUACCGGAUACGACCUCCUGCCGCAUGGUGUGGGGGUGGAAAGAUUUAUCGGUUUUGGAUGGACUCGCGGCCUAUCAGCUUGUUGGUGAGGUAAUGGCUCACCAAGGCGACGACGGGUAGCCGGCCUGAGAGGGUGACCGGCCACACUGGGACUGAGACACGGCCCAG